This 170-nucleotide non-coding RNA is filed under the name Pongo abelii (Sumatran orangutan). The record is from RNAcentral. Lineage: Eukaryota; Metazoa; Chordata; Mammalia; Primates; Hominidae.
GGGACCGAGGCUCGCGAGUCCGGGCCCUCCUCGCAGCUGGGGCCCCACUGGCCGCCCCCGCGGGAGCGCUACGGGAGAGGCGCCCGUUCGGCUGCGGGUUUUAUUAUGGAGCUGCCAAGCUAGAAAGUGCUGCUGGGUUAGGGUCUCCCCAGCUAAGCUGGUCUUGGCAG